RNAcentral lists this ribosomal RNA (468 nucleotides) under uncultured bacterium. RNAcentral describes it as "partial 16S ribosomal RNA". It matches the Rfam family "Bacterial small subunit ribosomal RNA", at positions 28 to 507 of the family's 1533-position model. The record is from RNAcentral.
GACGAACGCUGGCGGCGUGCUUAACACAUGCAAGUCGAACGGAAAGGCCCUGCUUUUGUGGGGUGCUCGAGUGGCGAACGGGUGAGUAACACGUGAGUAACCUGCCCUUGACUUUGGGAUAACUUCAGGAAACUGGGGCUAAUACCGGAUAGGAGCUCCUGCUGCAUGGUGGGGGUUGGAAAGUUUCGGCGGUUGGGGAUGGACUCGCGGCUUAUCAGCUUGUUGGUGGGGUAGUGUCUUACCAAGGCUUUGACGGGUAGCCGGCCUGAGAGGGUGACCGGCCACAUUGGGACUGAGAUACGGCCCAGACUCCUACGGGAGGCAGCAGUGUGGAAUAUUGCACAAUGGGCGGAAGCCUGAUGCAGCAACGCCGCGUGCGGGAUGACGGCCUUCGGGUUGUAAACCGCUUUCGCCUGUGACGAAGCGUGAGUGACGGUAAUGGGUAAAGAAGCACCGGCUAACUACGUG